RNAcentral lists this transfer RNA (72 nucleotides) under Bos taurus (domestic cattle). It matches the Rfam family "tRNA". From Rfam's summary of the family: Transfer RNA (tRNA) molecules are approximately 80 nucleotides in length. Their secondary structure includes four short double-helical elements and three loops (D, anti-codon, and T loops). Further hydrogen bonds mediate the characteristic L-shaped molecular structure. tRNAs have two regions of fundamental functional importance: the anti-codon, which is responsible for specific mRNA codon recognition, and the 3' end, to which the tRNAs corresponding amino acid is attached (by aminoacyl-tRNA synthetases). tRNAs cope with the degeneracy of the genetic code in two manners: having more than one tRNA (with a specific anti-codon) for a particular amino acid; and 'wobble' base-pairing, i.e. permitting non-standard base-pairing at the 3rd anti-codon position. The record is from Rfam by way of RNAcentral. Lineage: Eukaryota; Metazoa; Chordata; Mammalia; Artiodactyla; Bovidae. RNAcentral also lists the same sequence under 5 other names.
UCCCUGUGGUCUAGUGGUUAAGACUCCACACUUCCACUGCAGGGGGUGCGGGUUUGAGCCCUGUCCAGGGAA